ACCCCCCCCACAGAGACCCCCCCCAUUGACCCCCCAGAGAGACCCCCCCAAUAGCCCCCCAAGAGGACCCCCCCCCCAAUAGACCCUAAAGAGACCCCCCCAAUGGACCCCAAAAGAGACCCCCCCUCAUUGGACCCCCCCAUAGAGACCCGCCCAUAGCUUGCCCAUAGCUGCCCCAUAGAUGACCCCAUAGAUACCCUUAAAGCACCCCAUAUCUGUCCCAUAGCUGCCCCCAUAGAUUACCCAUAGCUGCCCCAUUGGCUGCCCCAUAGCUGCCCCAUAAGAUACCCAUAGCUGCCCCAUUAUUGCCCCAUAGAUACCCCAUAGCUGCCCAAGAUACCCCAUAUCUGCCCCCAUAGCUGCCGCCAUAUCUGCCCCAUAUCUACCCAUAGCUGCCCCAUAGAUACCCCAUUAGCUGCCCCAUAUCUGCCCCAAGAAGAUAACCCCAUAUCUUGCCCCUAGAUAACCCCAUAGCUGCCCAUAGCUGGCCCCAUAGAUACCCCCAUAGCUGCCCCAUAGUGCCCCAUAUCUACCCCAUAGCUGCCCCAUAGAUACCCCAUAGCUGCCCCAUAGAUACCCUAUAUCUGCCCUAUAUCUGCCCCAUAGCUGCCCCACAUCCGCCCCAUAGCUCACCUUGCAGAAGCUGCAGUAGCUGCAGAUGGAUCCCGGCCUGUAACGUCCAUCACCACCAUCAUCAUCAUCAUCAUCAUCUUCAUCCUCCUCCGAGCUGCCCCCACCACCAUCAUCAUCAUCAUCAUCCUCCUCCUCGGAGCUCACGGGGUCGCCAUGGUGAUGGUUGCCAUGGUGACGAGCAUCCUGGUUGCCAUGGUGAUGGACAUCAUGGUCGUCAUGGUGAUGGACAUCAUGGUCGUCAUGGGGAUGAGCAUCCUCGUGGUCGUCAUGGUGAUGGACAUCCUGGUUGCCAUGGUGAUGGUUGCCAUGGUGAUGGCCAUCAUGGUCGCCAUGGGGAUGCUCUUCAUCCUGGUUGUCAUGGUGACGGUCGCCAUGGUGAUGGUUGUCAUGGUGAUGGUCGCCAUGAUGAUGGAGAUCCUGGUCGCCAUGGUGAUGCUCUUCAUCCUGGUUGCCAUGGUGAUGGUUGCCAUGGUGAUGGUUGUCAUGGUGAUGCCCAUCCUGGUUGCCAUGGUGAUGAGCAUCCUCCUGGUUGCCAUGGUGACGGUCUCCAUCCUGGUUGCCAUGGUGAUGGUUGCCAUGGUGAUGGUUGCCAUGGAGAUGCUCUUCAUCCUGGUUGCCAUGGUGAUGGACAUCAUGGUCGCCAUGGUGAUGCCCAUCCUGGUUGCCAUGGUGAUGCUCUUUAUGGUUACCAUGGUGACGGUCGCCAUGUUGAUGCCCAUCCUGAUGCUCUCCAUCCUGGCCGCCAUGUUGAUGCUCCUCCUUGUUGCCAUGGUGACCGUCUCCAUGGUGAUGCUCUUCCUGGUUGCCAUGGUGACGCCCCUCCCCCCCGUCACCACGAGGCUCUUCCCUCCUCCCCUCCCCCUCCCCCCCCCCACCCUUUCAUCCACCCCUUCGAUUUUCGCAAUAAUCAUCACCCACUGUUGGCGCGUCUCCAACCCCGCUCCCCCUCCAACCAUAACAUGGGCGAGUCCGCGUAGCACCACCAUUAACCCCCCCCCCAUUUCCAAACCCGGGGGGGGCAGGAGGAGCCCCGAGGAACAGCCAAAGGAUCCGACCCCCCAUAGCCAGAACAGCAUCCAGACGCAAAUUGAGGAAACAGCUUGCUUUCUAGCACCCCCCCACUGUCUCAGGGGGCGGGUGGGGCUGCAUAUUACUAUCUACCCCCCACCGCCCCUAUAG
RNAcentral lists this long non-coding RNA (1812 nucleotides) under Coturnix japonica (Japanese quail). Its description in RNAcentral is "lncRNA (ENSCJPG00005002657.1)". Lineage: Eukaryota; Metazoa; Chordata; Aves; Galliformes; Phasianidae. The record is from RNAcentral.